RNAcentral lists this ribosomal RNA (921 nucleotides) under Liposcelis decolor. RNAcentral's name for it is "bacterial SSU rRNA". It matches the Rfam family "Eukaryotic small subunit ribosomal RNA", at positions 471 to 1290 of the family's 1831-position model. Lineage: Eukaryota; Metazoa; Arthropoda; Insecta; Psocodea; Liposcelididae. The record is from RNAcentral.
CNAUAAAUAACGAUGCAGAACUCUUUCGAAGGCUNUGCAAUCGGAAUGGGUACACUCUAAACACUUUAACGAGUAUCCACUGAAGGGCAAGUCUGGUGCCAGCAGCCGCGGUAAUUCCAGCUCCAGUAGCGUAUAUUAAAGUUGUUGCGGUUAAAAAGCUCGUAGUUGGAUCUGUGUUUCGAGCCGUCGGUUCGCUGCCCGUCAGCGUUUAACUGACGCGUCUUCGAAACGUCCUGCCGGUUGGCGGUCGGUCGCGCAUCCAGCCUCGUCGGCCGAAAGGUCGGCGGGACAUUAAGCGGUGGUCAAGCGACGCGCCAGUGUCCGUCACCCGUUCCCGAUGCUCUUUACUGAGUGUCGAGGCGGGCCGGCACGUUUACUUUGAAUCAAACUGGGUGCUCAAGGCAGGCAAAUUAAUUUACCGCCCGAAAGAACUUGCAUGGAAUAAUGGAAUAGGACCUCGGUUCUAUUUUGUUGGUUUUCGGAACCCCGAGGUAAUGAUAAAUGGGGACUGACGGGGGCAUUAGUAUUGCGGCGUUAGAGGUGAAAUUCUUGGAUCGUCGCAAGACUACCUAAAGCGAAAGCAUUUGCCAAGGAUGUUUUCAUUAAUCAAGAACGAAAGUUAGAGGUUCGAAGGCGAUCAGAUACCGCCCUAGUUCUAACCAUAAACGAUGCCAGCCAGCGAUCCGCGGUGGUUCGUUUGAAAUGACCCCGCGGGCAGCCUCCGGGAAACCAGAGCUUUUGGGUUCCGGGGGUAGUAUGGUUGCAAAGCUGAAACUUAAAGGAAUUGACGGAAGGGCACCCCCAGGAGUGGAGCUUGCGGCUUAAUUUGACUCAACACGGGAAACCUCACCAGGCCCGGACACCGAAAGGAUUGNCAGAUCGAUAGCUCUCUCUUGAUUCAGUGGNUGGUGGUGCAUGCCG